Molecule: non-coding RNA, 197 nt
Filed under: Pasteurellaceae bacterium LIM206
Lineage: Bacteria; Pseudomonadati; Pseudomonadota; Gammaproteobacteria; Pasteurellales; Pasteurellaceae
Description: 6S RNA
Rfam family: 6S / SsrS RNA
About the family: E. coli 6S RNA was the first non coding RNA to be sequenced, but its function was unknown until recently.
Source: RNAcentral
GAUUACCUGGGGUGUUUGUUAGUGGAUUACGUCCCUGAGCCGAUACUAUUAAACUUUCGAAUUGGUUCACUAUCGUUGGUGAGCAUGCUUACCUUGGCAUCAGCCCUGAUGUAAGAAGCCUAAAAACAUUUAUAGCCGAUUCCCUUGAACUUUCGGGUUCAAGGACCGACCAUCCACAACGGCAUCUCGGGUUCUUU